RNAcentral lists this ribosomal RNA (817 nucleotides) under Vibrio alginolyticus. RNAcentral's name for it is "bacterial SSU rRNA". It matches the Rfam family "Bacterial small subunit ribosomal RNA", at positions 60 to 856 of the family's 1533-position model. The record is from RNAcentral. Lineage: Bacteria; Pseudomonadati; Pseudomonadota; Gammaproteobacteria; Vibrionales; Vibrionaceae.
AGUCGAGCGGAUGCGAGUUAUCUUGAACCUUCGGGGAACGAUAACGGCGUGAGCGGGGGACGGGUGAUUAAUGCCUAUGAAAUUGCCCUGAUGUGGGGGAUAACCAUUGGAAACUAUGGCUAAUACCGCAUGAUGCCUGAUGGCCAGACAGGGGGACCUUCGAGCCUCUCGCGUCAGGAUAUGCCUAUGUGGAAUUAACUGCUUGGUGAGCAAGGGCUCACCACUGCUACGAUCCCAAGCUGGUCUGACUGAUGAUCAGCCACACUGGAAAUGCCACACGGACCAAACUCCUACGGGAGGCAGCAGUGGGGAAUAUUGCACAAUGGGCCCUGCCCUGAUGCAGCCAUGCCGCGUGUAAGAAUAAGGCCUUCUGGUUGUAAAGUACUUUCAGUCGUGAGGAAGGCUGCUGCUUUAAUAUCGCCAUCGUUUGACGUUAGCGACAGAUUAAUCACCGGCUAACUCCGUGCCAGCAGCCGCGGUAAUACAGAGGGAGCUAGCGUUAAUCGGAAUUACUGGGCGUAAAGCGCAUGCUGGAGGUUAGUUAAGUCAGAUGUGCCUGCGCGCUGCUCAACCUCGUAGUAACAUUUGAAACUGGCAAACUAGAUUACUGUACAUGUGUGUAGAAUUUCUGGUGUAGCGGUGAAAUGCAUACAGAUGUCAAAGAAUACCGGUGGCGAUAGCGCUCCCCCUGGACGUAUACUGACACGCAGAUGCGACAGCAUGAGGUGCAAGAUGAUCAGAUACCCUAGAUAAUCUACACUAUACAUGAUGACUACUGAGAUGUUGUGGCCUUGACUCACGGCCUUUCGUAGCUCAG